AACCAACAGGGAUUGCCUUAGUAACGGCGAGUNAAGCSGCAACAGCUCAAAUUUGAAAUCUGGCUCUUUUAGGGUCCGAGUUGUAAUUUGCAGAGGGCGCUUUGGCUUUGGCAGCGGUCCAAGUUCCUUGGAACAGGACGUCACARAGGGUGAGAAUCCCGUACGUGGUCGCUAGCUAUUGCCGUGUAAAGCCCCUUCGACGAGUCGAGUUGUUUGGGAAUGCAGCUCUAAAUGGGAGGUAAAUUUCUUCUAAAGCUAAAUAUUGGCCAGAGACCGAUAGCGCACAAGUAGAGUGAUCGAAAGAUGAAAAGCACUUUGGAAAGAGAGUCAAACAGCACGUGAAAUUGUUGAAAGGGAAGCGCUUGCAGCCAGACUUGCUUGCAGUUGCUCAUCCGGGCUUUUGCCCGGUGCACUCUUCUGCAGGCAGGCCAGCAUCAGUUUGGGCGGUGGGAUAAAGGUCUCUGACACGUUCCUUCCUUCGGGUUGGCCAUAUAGGGGAGACGUCAUACCACCAGCCUGGACUGAGGUCCGCGCAUCUGCUAGGAUGCUGGCGUAAUGGCUGUAAGCGGCCCGUCUUGAAACACGGACCAAGGAGUCUAACAUCUAUGCGAGUGUUUGGGUGUAAAGCCCGAGCGCGUAAUGAAAGUGAACGGAGGUGGGAACCCGCAAGGGUGCACCAUCGACCGAUCCUGAAGUUUACGGAAGGAUUUGAGUAAGAGCAUGGCUGUUGGGACCCGAAAGAUGGUGAACUAUGCUUGAAUAGGGUGAAGCCAGAGGAAACUCUGGUGGAGGCUCGCA
This 798-nucleotide ribosomal RNA is filed under the name Curvularia heteropogonicola. RNAcentral's name for it is "LSU rRNA". It matches the Rfam family "Eukaryotic large subunit ribosomal RNA", at positions 63 to 879 of the family's 3401-position model. Lineage: Eukaryota; Fungi; Ascomycota; Dothideomycetes; Pleosporales; Pleosporaceae. The record is from RNAcentral.